AAAACAUGUCUUUUUGAUAAAAAUUUAAAGUCCGGUCUGCUCACUGAAUUAUUUUAAAGAGCCGCAGUAUAUUGACUGUGCAAAGGUAGCAUAAUCAAUAGUUUUUUAAUUGAAAACUAGAAUGAAAGAUUAGACGAAAAAUUAAUUUUCUUUAUUUUAAUAAAUUUAAUUUUAAAUUUAAGUGAAAAUGCUUAAAUAUAAUUAAAAGACGAGAAGACCCUAUAGAUUUUUAUUAUUGAAAUAAAUUUUUAAAUUUAAUUUAAUAAAAUAAUUUAAUUGGGGCGAUUUUAUAAUAUAAAUAACUUAAUUUUUUAAAACCAUAAAUAAUUGAAUGUUUGAUCUAAAAUUUUUAAAGGAAAGAUUAAAUUACCUUAGGGAUAACAGCGUAAUUUUAUUUAAGAGUUCAUAUCUAUAAUAAAGUUUGCGACCUCGAUGUUGAAUUAAGAUAAUAUAUUGGAGUAGAAAUUAAUAUAAUUAGUCUGUUCGACUAUUAAAUUCUUACGUGAUCUG
Molecule: ribosomal RNA, 510 nt
Filed under: Ptycta maculifrons
Lineage: Eukaryota; Metazoa; Arthropoda; Insecta; Psocodea; Psocidae
Description: partial 16S ribosomal RNA
Rfam family: Bacterial large subunit ribosomal RNA (bases 377-510)
Source: RNAcentral